UUGUCGUGGAGAAAGGCGGUAGGCAGAUCCCUUAGGCAAAUCCGGGGGGUUAAUGCUGAGAACCGAGACCAGAGUGCUUGCACUUGAAGUCACCGAUGCCAUGCUUCCAGGAAAAGCCUCUAAGCUUCAGAUGAUAAGAAAUCGUACCCGAAACCGACACAGGUGGUCAGGUCGAGAAGACCAAGGCGCUUGAGAGAACUCUGCUGAAGGAACUAGGCAAAAUAGCACCGUAACUUCGGGAGAAGGUGCGCUGUUGGUUGUUAAGGAUUUACUCUGUAAGCAACCGGCAGCCUCAGUAACCAGGCCGCUGCAACUGUUUAUUAAAAACACAGCACUCUGCAAACACGAAAGUGGACGUAUAGGGUGUGACGCCUGCCCGGUGCCGGAAGGUUAAUUGAUGGGGUUAGCGCAAGCGAAGCUCUUGAUCGAAGCCCCGGUAAACGGCGGCCGUAACGAUAACGGUCCUAAGGUAGCGAAAUUCCUUGUCGGGUAAGUUCCGACCUGCACGAAUGGCGUAAUGAUGGCGGCACUGUCUCCAGCAGAGACUCAGUGAAAUCGAAAUCGCGGUGAAGAUGCCGUGUACCCGCGGCUAGACGGAAAGACCCCGUGAACCUUUACUGCAGCUUUGCACUGGACUUUGAUCUUGCUUGUGUAGGAUAGGUGGGAGGCUUUGAAGCGUGGACGCUAGUUCGCGUGGAGCCAUCCUUGAAAUACCACCCUGGCAAUAUUGAGGUUCUAACCAUGUCCCGUUAUCCGGGAUUGGGACAGUGUAUGGUGGGUAGUUUGACUGGGGCGGUCUCCUCCUAAAGAGUAACGGAGGAGUACGAAGGUGCGCUCAGACCGGUCGGAAAUCGGUCGUAGAGUAUAAAGGCAAAAGCGCGCUUAACUGCGAGACAGACAAGUCGAGCAGGUACGAAAGUAGGUCUUAGUGAUCCGGUGGUUCUGUAUGGAAGGGCCAUCGCUCAACGGAUAAAAGGUACUCUGGGGAUAACAGGCUGAUACCGCCCAAGAGUUCAUAUCGACGGCGGUGUUUGGCACCUCGAUGUCGGCUCAUCUCAUCCUGGGGCUGAAGCAGGUCCCAAGGGUAUGGCUGUUCGCCAUUUAAAGAGGUACGCGAGCUGGGUUUAGAACGUCGUGAGACAGUUCGGUCCCUAUCUACCGUGGGCGUUGGAGACUUGAAAGGAUCUGCUUCUAGUACGAGAGGACCGAAGUGGACGCACCUCUGGUGUUCCGGUUGUCACGCCAGUGGCAUUGCCGGGUAGCUACGUGCGGAAGGGAUAACUGCUGAAAGCAUCUAAGCAGGAAGCCCACCUUAAGAUUAGGUCUCCCUGAGGGUUCGACCCUCCUAAAGUGCCGUUCGAGACCAG
RNAcentral lists this ribosomal RNA (1367 nucleotides) under metagenome. Its description in RNAcentral is "bacterial LSU rRNA". It matches the Rfam family "Bacterial large subunit ribosomal RNA", at positions 1502 to 2848 of the family's 2925-position model. The record is from RNAcentral.